UGAUGAUUUAAGACUGUGGUCACUAGGAAUUUAAUUAAUUCCAACGAGAUUUUAUUUAUAAUUUAUUUACAAAAUGUAGAAAGAGUGAAGAAAGAAAUCAGAGAGAGGAUAAGUUAAGAUAUCUAGCCUGAACACUAAGUAAUUUACUCUUAGCACCUCUGGGCAGGGAGAAUUAGUUUCAGCCGGCCUUGACAAAGCUGAGGAACUUGGCAGUUUCUCAAGAGGAUAGGUCUUUUCUGAGGCCAGUCUCUUCAGAGAAAAUGAAACAGGAGUCAGCUUUUUCACUCAACACAUGUCAGUAGAGUUGGCAGAUCUUUCUGCCUCUCUUCACCAGCCUCAACUUGAUAGCAUGAAGAAUUGUCCAGUCUCCACUUCCAAAAAAUGAACUCUCUCUCACAGGGAGUUGACAGCCCCUUUAAACGACAUUUUCUCUUGCAUCACUUCCUGUGUCUUCCCCUAAUUUUGCAUCUACCAAUCACAGUUUAUUCUCUGUUCUAGGACUUCCCAGAAUGCAGUUAGUCAAUUCUGAUUUGUUUCCCAUUGUCGCACAUAUGAAUCACAGACCUCCCACUUCAUGAUUAAGUUGGAUAUUUGCACUUUUUGGUGACUAGAUCUAAAUGGGCAUGUCUCCAUACUUAACUUUUAAGUAGGGUGUUUACACUUAUGGGGAUGAUUAAAUCUAAAAAUAGGUAAGGGUUACAAUUUAAUCUUCACAAUCAGGAUGAGAGUUAAGUAUUUUUAUUAUUAUAACCAGGAGAGAAUUCAAUUUAAUCUUCACAUGGGAGAGGGGGAGAAGAACCAUACAAUGGAAGGGAAGAAGAGAUUGAUGGCAGGAAUGGUAUGUCACAAACACCUGGGAAGAGGAACUCCAUUCCAUGAAGUCAUGAAAGGCUCACUGCAAAAGAAUAUGAAAAUUUUGCUUGGUGACUACCAGUCUUGAUGGGACUAAUGAAACAAUUGAAUGAUUUAUGGGACCAAAUAGAGCAAGCUCACUUGGAGUUUCAUACUUUUGAGGAAUUAAAGAAACAUGAGAAUUCUGCUAUUCCAAGGAUGCUGGAGUGUCUAAAAGAAGAUGUCCAGUGAAAGCAAGAAAGAGAAAAGGAACUUCAGCAAAGAUAUGCAGAUUUGCUAUUGGAGAAAGAGACUUUAAAGUCAAAUUA
Molecule: long non-coding RNA, 1160 nt
Filed under: Monodelphis domestica (gray short-tailed opossum)
Lineage: Eukaryota; Metazoa; Chordata; Mammalia; Didelphimorphia; Didelphidae
Description: lncRNA (ENSMODG00000042439.1)
Source: RNAcentral